CGUACAGGUUUCCGUAGGUGAACCUGCGGAAGGAUCAUUAAAUGAAAAGCUGGUUUACCAGUAUACGGCCCCUGGGUUUGUUUCUGACAAGCGCCAGGAUCAGUCGUCAUUUAUACCCAUGUUUUUUGAGUACUACUUGUUUCCUUGGUAGGCUUGCCUACCAUUAGGACCACACAAAACCUUUUGUAAUUGCAGUCAGCGUCAGAAAUAACUUAAUAGUUACAACUUUCAACAACGGAUCUCUUGGUUCUGGCAUCGAUGAAGAACGCAGCGAAAUGCGAUAAGUAGUGUGAAUUGCAGAAUUCAGUGAAUCAUCGAAUCUUUGAACGCACAUUGCGCCCCUUGGUAUUCCAUGGGGCAUGCCUGUUCGAGCGUCAUUUGUACUCUCAAGCUCUGCUUGGUGUUGGGUGUUUGUCCCGCGUUGCGUGUGGACUCGCCUUAAAGCAAUUGGCAGCCGGCAUAUUGGCCUUGGAACGCAGCACAUUUUGCGAUCCUAGUCAUACUUGUUGGCAUCCAUCAAGCCUAUACAUUAACGCUUGACCUCGGAUCAGGUANGGAUACCCGCUGAACUUAAGCAUAUCA
RNAcentral lists this ribosomal RNA (582 nucleotides) under uncultured fungus. RNAcentral describes it as "eukaryotic LSU rRNA". The stretch from base 224 to 377 matches the Rfam family "5.8S ribosomal RNA". Lineage: Eukaryota; Fungi. The record is from RNAcentral.